GCGGCCUAUCAGCUUGUUGGUGGGGUGAUGGCCUACCAAGGCGACGACGGGUAGCCGGCCCGAGAGGGUGUCCGGCCACACUGGGACUGAGAUACGGCCCAGACUCCUACGGGAGGCAGCAGUGGGGAAUAUUGCACAAUGGGCGCAAGCCUGAUGCAGCGACGCCGCGUGGGGGAUGACGGCCUUCGGGUUGUAAACCUCUUUCACCAUCGGCGAAGCCGGGAGCUUUUGUUUCUGGUGACGGUAGGUGGAGAAGAAGCACCGGCCAACUACGUGCCAGCAGCCGCGGUAAUACGUAGGGUGCGAGCGUUGUCCGGAAUUACUGGGCGUAAAGAGCUCGUAGGUGGUUUGUCGCGUUGUCCGUGAAAUUCCCUGGCUUAACUGGGGGCGUGCGGGCGAUACGGGCAGACUGGAGUACUGCAGGGGAGACUGAAAUUCCUGGUGUAGCGGUGGAAUGCGCAGAUAUCAGGAGGAACACCGGUGGCGAAGGCGGGUCUCUGGGCAGUAACUGACGCUGAGGAGCGAAAGCGUGGGGAGCGAACAGGAUUAGAUACCCUGGUAGUCCACGCCGUAAACGGUGGGCGCUAGGUGUGGGUUCCUUCCACGGAAUCCGUGCCGUAGCUAACGCAUUAAGCGCCCCGCCUGGGGAGUACGG
This 655-nucleotide ribosomal RNA is filed under the name uncultured bacterium. RNAcentral describes it as "bacterial SSU rRNA". It matches the Rfam family "Bacterial small subunit ribosomal RNA", at positions 233 to 885 of the family's 1533-position model. The record is from RNAcentral.